Molecule: long non-coding RNA, 2237 nt
Filed under: Musa acuminata (dwarf banana)
Lineage: Eukaryota; Viridiplantae; Streptophyta; Magnoliopsida; Zingiberales; Musaceae
Description: long non-coding RNA (MACU_LNC005438)
Source: RNAcentral
AUGGAAUGACUCCAAUACAGAGGCCAAAAUCUACUGUUGGAAUUCCUAAAAUUGGUCUGUAAGAUUAUGUAGCUGACAGAGAAGGCAGAUUUCUGGGGAGAUUAGGAGAAUAUUUGUAUCUUCUAAUCAGAGAUCUGCAGAGGAAGGCUGCUGGGUUUAGGUUAUUUGGCCAGUGUUUCAGGUAUGUUCUUGCUUUCCAUCUAAUCAUCAUGAGAAUGCUUUUGUUAGAGUAUCAUCUCAAAGAGUUCCAAUUUUGCAUAUGGAGGUAGGAGAGUUUCAUCCAUCUUUGUUGGAAUCGAGGGUUGCAGAUGCAGGCAAUAGAUGCAUUUAUGUAUCUAAUAAUCAUCAGAAUGCUUUAUAUCUCAAAUGGGGACAUCUGCAUAUGGAGGUAGGAGGGUUUCAUCCAUCUUUGGUUGAAUCAAGGGGGGGGUCUGCUUGCCUGCAAUCAGAAUUGCCUAUGUUGAAUGGUUGCAGACUAUGGUUAAUGAUGUAAGUAGCAGUUGGAUGUCUGCAACAUGUGAAGGAAAGGGAGGAGGGAUAUGUGCAUCUCCUUUUUGGAUUGUGACCUACCCUGCAUGCCAGGCUUGUAGCAUUUUAGAUCACAAGUAAUGUUGCAGUUUAUAGGGGGUUUCAUUACACAAGUAGAAGCUGUAUAACUUGCAGUGACCAAACAACCCAAAAUGAAUAUGGAGAAUUUUCCGAUCAACCUCGGAUAUCAGAGUCUGAUUUCAUUUCCACAUGUCGGAACUCUGGCUCGGUGAAAAAUUGUUGUACAUGAGAUGCAAUGAUUUCAUUUCCUGCAUUGAGCUAUUGGAGUUAUCAAUUGAUUUUUCUGAGCUUCUUAUUUGAAAGAAACACAACAAUUUAAGAGUGAUCAGACCUCCAAAUUCAUUUCAAAAGAGAUUAUGUCUGCUAAAACAAUCGACUAUUAAGUCUUGACCUUUUCUUGGUUUGAAGGGCAAUUUGGAGGAGCCUCCGUCAAAAAAGAGGAGAAAUCAAGAAGGAGAUACAGAAAAAUCACAACUGCCUGAAAUGUCUCAGAUAACAGAUAAUAGAGAAAGUUACACAAUCUUUAGUCUUAACUAUUUAGGUAUAUUUAUUGUACAUAAGAUCCGAAAAAAAGGAAAAGAUAGGAAGAAGGUGAGGGAACAGGACACACAAACAAAUCUAUCUUGACCUAGAUAUCUUACAUUCUUGGUGUUGUCACGAGGCGGUAUUGGUACUUAAUAGGAUAUCUGCUUUCUUCGUGUCACAGGACUUUUGCAUCGUAUCACCAGCCUCCCUAGGCCUGGACCUGCAACUAGCUUUCUUUGCCAUUUCUUCUCUACAAGCAUAUGCAGUUACAGGUAGUAUAGUUCUCUUGAGCACAUUAAUUUCCUGCAUCCAACAAUGAGAGAUUUUGGUGUCUAUCAAUUACAUUUUAGAUGGAAAAAAACUUUUCUUAUCAAGAUAUACCUCUAGCAGGACUGUUCUUUUCAUCUCAGAAAAUGCUCAAUCUGCUUCCAGCCAUUGAUGAUCCACUUGAGCUUUCGUAUCCAGAUGGUGUGGUUGAAGAGCCAUUAAUGAUAUCCUGAACAUUAAGAAAGGAAAGAAGGAUCAUAGGGAGCCAUCUAUUACUUGUUGGUCUGAAAUUUUUGUGGAAGACAAUCUUUUUCAUGACAUCUUGCAUUACAUAUCAUGAUAAUCUGAUAAUUGGACACAAUCUCGAUGACAAUCAGAAGAUCUAAACUUAUCUUACUUCAGUUGAUUAUGCAUGAUGCUCAAUUUUUUUGUAUGCGAGAAAUUUAGAAGAUUCAAGAGAACAAGUGUUCUGCAUGUCCAUUUUAUAUAUUUGUUUAGAUCAUGGUCAAAAAAAUUAUAGUAUUUCUUCCUAUUUGCUGAUGUAUUUGUUAAAGAACUGGAAAUAUACUUUUGCUUGGGAUAGCAUUAUAUGCAUAUAAAGUUGUGUGGCAUGUAACCGAUGCCACAUUUUUUAGUAUCCUUUGAUCUAGUUAGAGUAUUGUAUUCAAUGGAUACUUCCUCAGCUUACUACAUUCCUAUAUAUCCACAUGGUAUGCUAGUGGAGUCUGAUAAUUGCUGCUCAUUGUAACAGAGAAGAGUUGGAGAAAGACAAGAGCCAUACUUGUGUAGAAACUGGGGUGUGCAUGAGUGAGGGGUGCGGGUUGCUCCCAAACACAAAGUACUGCAUGUUCUCCUCAGCAAGAUCUCUAAGUCUGUCAAGUUCUGGCAGUAUGACC